GAGGAAUAUUGGGCAAUGCCCGCAAGGGUGACCCAGCAACGCCGCGUGGAGGAUGAAUGUCGUUAGAUUGUAAACUCCUGUUAGAGGGGAAGAAUAGUACCGGUUGGACCGGUAUAUGACUGUAUCCUCAGAGAAAGCCCCGGCUAACUACGUGCCAGCAGUCGCGGUAAUACGUAGGGGGCAAGCGUUGUCCGGAUUUACUGGGUGUAAAGGGCGCGCAGGCGGGAUAAAAAGUCAGUGGUGAAAUCCUACAGCUUAACUGUA
This 264-nucleotide ribosomal RNA is filed under the name uncultured bacterium. RNAcentral describes it as "partial 16S ribosomal RNA". It matches the Rfam family "Bacterial small subunit ribosomal RNA", at positions 356 to 617 of the family's 1533-position model. The record is from RNAcentral.